CACAGCUUCUCUGGACAGCCUGUUCCUGUGCCUCACCACCCUCAGAGAAGAAUUUCUGCCUAGCGUCUAAUCCAAGCCUACUUUCAGCCUACUACAGCCCCUUGUCCUGUCAAUAUGUGUCCUUGUCAAGAAAUCCCUCUCCGCCUUUCUUCUGGACUCCCUUCAGGUACUGGAAUGCCACAAUUAGGUCACACCAAAGCUUUCUCUUUUCAGGCUGAACAAACCAAAUUCUCUCAGCCUUUUCUUGUAAAAGAAGUUGGUGGCCUACUCCGGACUUGCUCCAUCAGGGUCAUGGCAGACCCCCCUCCCUCCCCUGCUGCCCACAGGGCUCUGGGUGCAGCCCAGGACACCUUUGGCUCUCUGGGCUGCCAGUGCUCAUGGCUGGGUCAUGUCCACAUGUCCACCCUCUCUGUUACACACCAGCACCCCCUAGUCCUUCUCAGCAGGGCUGCUCUCAAUCCCUUCAUCCCUGAGCCUGGACUGAUACCGGGAUUUGCUCUGGCCGAGGUGCAGCAUCUGGCCCUUGCUCUUAUUAAAUGGUGUAUGCAUCUGUUUUAAUAAAUGUGGAUCCACAACACAUCUGGACUCCUUUAAAGGCUGGAUGUUCAGGGUCCCAGUUAAUGAAGCGCUGAUCAUGACUCAUCACCUCCUCAUCCCUCUCCUGAGGCAAGGAAGUGGUUUACCCCAAUUUUGCAGCUCAAACUUCAGGUCCUAAACAAUUUAAAGACUUCACCAACAAGCUGGAUUCUUGCCUAACAGCCACACAGAUGCUGUGACUGGGUAACAGUUCUGAGACACUCUUCUCGUAACCACCUUCUACUUGAUGCUGUGCAUAGCAAGGACAAGGAGACCUCUCCACUUUCUUAUUGUUAAAGGACAAGAGGAGGCAAAGUCAGGUGCUACAGGAAAACAACCCAUCAUGAAGGGCAUAAUGAGACAAUAUCAACCAUCACAACAAGCCACAAGCAUCCACAGCAACUGCCAUUUGUCACGAUCAUUUUUGGGGCAAAUAUUAUGACAAAGAAGCUUUUUAAAGAUUUUUAAAUUGCCUGAGGCCGCUUGAGAAUACAUUCAAGUACAAGGUGAAGAAAAGGAGAGGGAAGAACAGUUCCUUCUCAGAGCACUGGAAGAUAAGAACUUUAAUGUGGUGGAGGAAAGGGAGCUAAGAAAUAAACAUGAAGAAAAGAGACAACACAGGCAAAGCUGCAGUCUGAAUGGGAAUAAGCACUGUUGUCUUUACUGGCAAAAGUAAAAGGAAACUUAGACAAAAAUGCCAGUUAUAUAAUGGAUCCGAUACAACCACUAAAUGAUGGAUAUGUGAAUAGGAGAGGACCUGCACAAAGCAUCAGCACAUUCAGAUCCAGUGUGGAUGCAAGAAUCUAUUUUUGAAGCCAGGGUGACAAGGGAGGAUGGGUGCAUCGAAAAAAAAAAAAAAACCACACAAAAAACCUGAACUGCAAUGCAAUUUGGUUAGAAAUAGUCUGCUUCAGCACAGAAGGAUAAAAGCCUUAAAUUAUUAGUAGGAAGGAAAGCACUUGAAUGUGUUCAGUAGUGCAAGACUACUGCAAAAUAAACUAUGAGAGAAGAAAAAGAGGAAAGCAAGAGUGGAGGUGGUAAUUGUAACAUAUAAUGUAUGUGGCAAAAAUAACAAGGAUAUGAGAAGAUAAAAGUGACAUAUAGCUGUAUAAUAUAUAGCUGGUAUUGUACAGCCUCCAGUCCUGUUCUAACUGUGCUUCCACAAUUCAGGACCUGUAAAGCUUCCACUGCCUACCUAAUGCAACUUGUACAUCCCUUCUGCUCUUACUUUUGGAAGAGGAUGCAAUUUUUUGCGAAUACCUGUGAAAACUGCCUCUGUAUGCAGUUAUGACUCUCUCCAUAAUUGCUGUCAAAUCAUGUUAACUACUUACUCCAGAAGAAAUUGAAAAUGACCUGGUGCUUGCUGGGGCAGAGACAAACAAACAUGGAGUCAUAACAUACCAUAGUCAUAGUCUCAUCACAGUUCUGCUUACAGCCUGAGACAUCACCAGUCCCCAGAUGCACACAGGAAAGGAAGAGACCCAGGAUCUGUUCCUCCCUCUGCCCACAAAGCAGCCUCAUACCUGAUCAAUACAGACACAUUUCAGUACCAGGAGACAAGGACACGGUAUUUCUCUGGACGCAUCAGUCAUUCUUGAGCCAUUUGCAUCAGUCACAGGCAGCAGAAGAUGGAAUGCUCCCCAUCUGCUGUACCAACAAGCACCAAUGUCCCAAUCAAGCACUGCCUGUGCAGCUUGUGCUGCAGCACUGGGCUGGGGUAACCACUCCUGUUCUUGGGGCAACUACACUCACUCCCCUGAGAAAAGCUCCUAAAAACAUAACAUAGUGGGAGAGAUAUGGCACACUGGGAACAGAGAAUAGGAAGUUCCUGCAGGAUCACAGGAAGAGGUCACAUAGCACAGAUGUUUUCCAGUUCAAGCAAUCAAGAGACCAGGAUAGCAAAGCAGGAAAAAGACAGACAAGCCCUGAAAAGGCUCACCUAUCAGCGGAUCAUACCUCCCCUUCAAAUUUCAGCAUUUCCAGAAUCCAUUUCAGCAAGGCUUUUAAUUUUUCUUCAUUGUGCCAACAGCUUCAACUACAGAAAAGUUCUGGCUUAGGGAAGGCACAUUCAUAUUGAAACCAUGGCAUUCUCUCUCAUGUCAGGUACGCCCUCAUUUGCUGCCUCUGCAAAAGGCUGCUCAGGGCAUGGGAACUGGCACUACUCAUGUGAAGACAGGGGGGCCAGGGCCCAGAAGCCCGACAGAGGACAGACCUACCUCCAGCAGGGGCCAGAAGAGAGAGCACAAGUGUCACAGGCACCCAGAACUUCACCAGUCCCUGCCCUUAGGCACCCACCUUCUCAGCAGAAGAGAGCUCAGUAAGGGAAAGGAGAUAGAAAAAAUAAAACAUGGUUGAAGGGAAAGAAGGAAGAAUCUGGACAAUUCAAUUAUGCAAGCAGUCUGCAUAUGGAAAUUUGAGUAUCUAAUAACAAUCAGUGGGCAUGGGGAUUUCACCCAUUAUCAGAAUUAAUUCUUGUGCACCUUCCUAGAGAACAUGAAGCACUGUAACUAAUUCAUGUCAGAUGGGAUUCUAAAGUGUUCCCUGAACAAGAGAUUUUGGUAAAAAGCCAACAUCUAACAACAAAAACAAAAAAAUAUUCCACAGGUUCAGUAGCAGCUAUCAGUGCCUGGAUGACCCUUUCAUCCAUGAUUUUUGCUGCUCUUGUUAAUACAGAAGGAUGUGAAACUCACCCAAAACAGUAACUGGUGGUGUUACCUAAAUUCCAUUGAACUUGCCAUGCUAAAAAAAAAGCAUCUAUUUAAAAGGUAAGACUUCUGGUUGUACCUUUUAUUAUACCUUAUAAAGGUAUACAAAGCAGUGCAGUACUAUGAUGUCUACAAACACCCAUGGAUUGAUUUUAGUGAACUUUUCCCUUAAUCCAAAACUCCUGAAAACGAGGAAUCCUUAAGAUCUUGCACCACCCCUUCAUUCUUUCUGAACUACACUUAGAUAUACAUAUGUCUGAUAUACAUAUUUCUGUUUGCAGGACAGUACUGCAGUCAUGCAAAAUGAGAUUUUUUUUCAGUUUAUUCUUGUAAUUUACUAUCUUUACCUUUUAAGCCAGACUACUCUUCUAAUACACUAAAAGCUGCCCUUGGUAGGAAAAAAAAAGUGUCACCCAAAAGGGUUUAAUUCACUUUUCAGGCAAACUAAAACCUUAGUCUGCACUGAAAAUGACAGCCAGAAAAAACAAAAUCACAUCACCGCAGCUUCUUGUUUUCUCCUUCCUUUUUAAACAGGCAACCAACUUAUUUUCCCACUGAAACAGUUACAUGAACAGUUACACUAUCAAAUCUGAAAGCUCCUCAAAAUUUCCAAGUCAAUGAAAGCCAGAUUCUAGAGGGAGACAACAUGGGUAAAAAAAGUAUCAAUACACAUGAUAUUUUAAUACAAAAUAUUAGCUUUUCUUUUUUUUUUUACACAAGUCAGUUUUUUUAAAAUAUAGAACCUUAAAAAAUGAACAAAUUGCUAUCCACACACUAUAAACACUUGUUUGUGCUCAGUUUGAUCAAGUUAUCAGAACAAUUUAAAACACCAGUCCAUAGUUUAAACACUGCCUUGAAGUUGGAUGCAAACUAUGCCGCACUGCGCGCUACCAUUAUUGUAUGUACAGGGUGAAGCGCCUUCGGUCGGGUUUAAUACGGUAAUAAAAAACUGUUCAGUUAUCAGGUUCUUUGUGCAAGGAUUUCACAUUCUACUCAUGCUCAUGACAGGUCUCUAUUACAUUUCAGUGGCACUGGUCUGAGCAAGCACAGGAAUUCUGUGAAUGUUCACCGGAAGAAUGUCCGUUACGUGUUCUGGAAGUACGAGUUCUUCAGCUGAAUAAAAGAAAACUUGUUAGUUUAGGGGAAAUAGCUAGCCUGAUUAGCCAGAAUUUAACAAUUUCUAAGCACUGAAAGGCAUUUUGAUUUCUCAAAGUUGAAUAAAAGUAAUUAACUAUCACAUUUUUAUAAAGAUCACCUAUGUAGCAGGUACAUCUCAGGAAUAUUUGUAAAUGCCCGUUUUUUGAACGCAUAGAAAGGAAAAAAAUUUCUCAAAGUUGGAGGUCAUAAAAGGUCUUGUUUUAGUAGUAAAUCAUCCACAAGUUGCAGGUUGUUAGCCAAGUAGAUUUAGGAUGAUUUACUUGCAUUACAGUAAUUUACACAAUUGAGCUUUAGGCAUACAGUACAAAACUAUGAACAAAAGGUGAAGCAAACUUUUUUAUUUAUAUUCAGGUAAAAACAUUAACCUGAUGAAGUAAAUUAUUGCAGAUUUGAGAAAUCAGCACAUAAAACAGUUGGACAGAGCAUUGCUUACAGGUGCUUUAUCUGUGUCAAAAGACAAAGGCUGAACUGCUUGUUCCAAGCUAGCACUGGGGGAGAAAGAAGGAAAAAAAAAAAAAAAAGAAAAAACUACAAAAUUGCCAGGAACUUAGAUCAA
Molecule: long non-coding RNA, 4995 nt
Organism: Catharus ustulatus (Swainson's thrush)
Lineage: Eukaryota; Metazoa; Chordata; Aves; Passeriformes; Turdidae
Exons: 4
Source: RefSeq, a predicted model, not a curated record